UUAGGGCAAGUUUGGGAAGUAAUAGGGCAGCAAAGUUAUAAGGUAAAAAGGAGAUAAGAAUGUAUUAAAACAUAAGGCAUUGGUUCCGCAACCAUUGUUAACUAGCUCCUGAUGGUUCUUCCAGGUUUGUGGAAUGAAUGAAGGCCCUUAUGUGGGCGUGUUGUCUCCGCAGGUAGUUGAUUCUCAAUUUUGCUAGGUGCGCGUAUUCCCAUUCCACGGGAUUUGGAGGUAGUUUUGUUUAAGAAGUAAGAAGG
RNAcentral lists this long non-coding RNA (254 nucleotides) under Solanum tuberosum (potato). Its description in RNAcentral is "long non-coding RNA (STUB_LNC011509)". The record is from RNAcentral. Lineage: Eukaryota; Viridiplantae; Streptophyta; Magnoliopsida; Solanales; Solanaceae.